GGGAAAAACGCUUUCAUUGAUAACGUAUCGAUGCAUCUAUUAGCGCUUGCAUCACUACCUACGAUGAUCUGCCUCCGUGUUCUUGCAAGGUGUGCCGAUAAUGAUGGGCGUGCCGGUUAUUAUAAUCCACAACCAGUGUAGUACCUGUGAGGGUGACUAAGUACGGUGAAAAGAAAAGUUUGGUAGUUUUUCGGCAUGCUUCGAUGGAUCUGUUACGUUUGUUUCGGCUCGGUCUCUCCCUGCCGACUGCAGUGAGAAUACCUGUCUUUUACCUCAGAAAAACACAACAUGGCUUUAACAAGAAA
RNAcentral lists this long non-coding RNA (305 nucleotides) under Toxoplasma gondii VEG. Lineage: Eukaryota; Apicomplexa; Conoidasida; Eucoccidiorida; Sarcocystidae. The record is from RNAcentral.